This 141-nucleotide ribosomal RNA is filed under the name uncultured bacterium. RNAcentral's name for it is "partial 16S rRNA". It matches the Rfam family "Bacterial small subunit ribosomal RNA", at positions 355 to 511 of the family's 1533-position model. The record is from RNAcentral.
UGGGGAAUUUUCCGCAAUGGGCGAAAGCCUGACGGAGCAAUGCCGCGUGGAGGUGGAAGGCCUACGGGUCGUCAACUUCUUUUCUCGGAGAAGAAACAAUGACGGUAUCUGAGGAAUAAGCAUCGGCUAACUCUGUGCCGG